RNAcentral lists this ribosomal RNA (429 nucleotides) under Actinomycetes bacterium. RNAcentral's name for it is "Actinobacteria bacterium partial 16S ribosomal RNA". It matches the Rfam family "Bacterial small subunit ribosomal RNA", at positions 355 to 776 of the family's 1533-position model. Lineage: Bacteria; Bacillati; Actinomycetota; Actinomycetes. The record is from RNAcentral.
UAGGGAAUCUUCCGCAAUGGGCGAAAGCCUGACGGAGCAACGCCGCGUGAGUGAUGAAGGUCUUCGGAUCGUAACACUCUGUUAUUAGGGAAGAACAAAUGUGUAAGUAACUAUGCACGUCUUGACGGUACCUAAUCAGAAAGCCACGGCUAACUACGUGCCAGCAGCCGCGGUAAUACGUAGGUGGCUAGCGUUAUCCGGAAUUAUUGGGCGUAAAGCGCGCGUAGGCGGUUUUUUAAGUCUGAUGUGAAAGCCCACGGCUCAACCGUGGAGGGUCAUUGGAAACUGGAAAACUUGAGUGCAGAAGAGGAAAGUGGAAUUCCAUGUGUAGCGGUGAAAUGCGCAGAGAUAUGGAGGAACACCAGUGGCGAAGGCGACUUUCUGGUCUGUAACUGACGAUGAUGUGCGAAAGCGUGGGGAUCAAACAGG